UUUCCUCUUAAUAUUGUGCCAGCAGUUAGUGCUCUUUAACUCUUACAUGGUCGCACACUGAAGCUAAGCAGAGCUGUGCCUGGUCAGUACCUGGAUGGGAGACCACAUGGUGGUUGCUGCCGGAAGU
RNAcentral lists this ribosomal RNA (127 nucleotides) under Danio rerio (zebrafish). The record is from RNAcentral. Lineage: Eukaryota; Metazoa; Chordata; Actinopteri; Cypriniformes; Danionidae.